Molecule: non-coding RNA, 197 nt
Filed under: Paramoeba aestuarina
Lineage: Eukaryota; Discosea; Flabellinia; Dactylopodida; Paramoebidae
Source: RNAcentral
AAAAGAGAAAAAAAAAAAAAAAAAAAAAAAACAAAAAGUUAAAGUCCAUCUUGUACCCCCUCUCUCCUACGAAAUGUCUUCUCUUCUCUCUUCCCCCUCUUCCCCCUGGCCUUCUCUCGAAGCUCUCUCUGAGGCCCUCUCAAAAUACUGUUCGGAACUGCCUGAUACCCUUCCCAUUUGAACAUUUGAAAAUAAAG